Molecule: ribosomal RNA, 1217 nt
Filed under: Adelium sp. 2 GJK-2014
Lineage: Eukaryota; Metazoa; Arthropoda; Insecta; Coleoptera; Tenebrionidae
Description: SSU rRNA
Rfam family: Eukaryotic small subunit ribosomal RNA
Source: RNAcentral
UUGUCUCAAAGAUUAAGCCAUGCAUGUCUCAGUACAAGCCAAAUUAAGGUGAAACCGCGAAAGGCUCAUUAAAUCAGUUAUGGUUCCUUAGAUCGUACCCACGUUACUUGGAUAACUGUGGUAAUUCUAGAGCUAAUACAUGCAAACAGAGCUCCGACCGGAGACGGAAGGAGCGCUUUUAUUAGAUCAAAACCAAUCGGUGGCGGUUUCCGUCAUCGUACAACUUGGUGACUCUGAAUAACUUUACGCUGAUCGCACGGUCUUGCACCGGCGACGCAUCUUUCAAAUGUCUGCCUUAUCAACUGUCGAUGGUAGGUUCUGCGCCUACCAUGGUUGUAACGGGUAACGGGGAAUCAGGGUUCGAUUCCGGAGAGGGAGCCUGAGAAACGGCUACCACAUCCAAGGAAGGCAGCAGGCGCGCAAAUUACCCACUCCCGGCACGGGGAGGUAGUGACGAAAAAUAACGAUACGGGACUCAUCCGAGGCCCCGUAAUCGGAAUGAGUACACUCUAAACCCUUUAACGAGGAUCAAUUGGAGGGCAAGUCUGGUGCCAGCAGCCGCGGUAAUUCCAGCUCCAAUAGCGUAUAUUAAAGUUGUUGCGGUUAAAAAGCUCGUAGUCGAAUCUGUGUCCCGCGCCGCCGGUUCAUCGUUCGCGGUGUUAACUGGCGUGUCGCGGGACGUCCUGCCGGUGGGCUUAGCUCGCAAGGGCGGCCCAACUCAAUCCCGCCGCGGUGCUCUUCAUUGAGUGUCGAGGUGGGCCGGCACGUUUACUUUGAACAAAUUAGAGUGCUUAAAGCAGGCUAAAACUUUGCCUGAAUACUGUGUGCAUGGAAUAAUGGAAUAGGACCUCGGUUCUAUUUUGUUGGUUUUCGGAACCCCGAGGUAAUGAUUAAUAGGAACGGAUGGGGGCAUUCGUAUUGCGACGUUAGAGGUGAAAUUCUUGGAUCGUCGCAAGACGGACAGAAGCGAAAGCAUUUGCCAAAAACGUUUUCAUUGAUCAAGAACGAAAGUUAGAGGUUCGAAGGCGAUCAGAUACCGCCCUAGUUCUAACCAUAAACGAUGCCAGCUAGCGAUCCGCCGACGUUCCUCCGAUGACUCGGCGGGCAGCUUCCGGGAAACCAAAGCUUUUGGGUUCCGGGGGAAGUAUGGUUGCAAAGCUGAAACUUAAAGGAAUUGACGGAAGGGCACCACCAGGAGUGGAGCCUGCGGCUUAAUU